Molecule: ribosomal RNA, 1742 nt
Filed under: Pseudomonas sp. FSL R10-2964
Lineage: Bacteria; Pseudomonadati; Pseudomonadota; Gammaproteobacteria; Pseudomonadales; Pseudomonadaceae
Description: partial 23S ribosomal RNA
Rfam family: Bacterial large subunit ribosomal RNA
Source: RNAcentral
UGAUGCGGUAGAGGAGCGUUCUGUAAGCCUGUGAAGGUGAGUUGAGAAGCUUGCUGGAGGUAUCAGAAGUGCGAAUGCUGACAUGAGUAACGAUAAUGGGUGUGAAAAACACCCACGCCGAAAGACCAAGGUUUCCUGCGCAACGUUAAUCGACGCAGGGUUAGUCGGUCCCUAAGGCGAGGCUGAAAAGCGUAGUCGAUGGAAAACAGGUUAAUAUUCCUGUACUUCUGGUUAUUGCGAUGGAGGGACGGAGAAGGCUAGGCCAGCUUGGCGUUGGUUGUCCAAGUUUAAGGUGGUAGGCUGGAAUCUUAGGUAAAUCCGGGAUUCUAAGGCCGAGAGCUGAUGACGAGUGUUCUUUUAGAACACGAAGUGGUUGAUGCCAUGCUUCCAAGAAAAGCUUCUAAGCUUCAGGUAACCAGGAACCGUACCCCAAACCGACACAGGUGGUUGGGUAGAGAAUACCAAGGCGCUUGAGAGAACUCGGGUGAAGGAACUAGGCAAAAUGGCACCGUAACUUCGGGAGAAGGUGCGCCGAUGGAGGUGAAGCAUUUACUGCGUAAGCCCCUGUCGGUCGAAGAUACCAGGCCGCUGCGACUGUUUAUUAAAAACACAGCACUCUGCAAACACGAAAGUGGACGUAUAGGGUGUGACGCCUGCCCGGUGCCGGAAGGUUAAUUGAUGGGGUUAGCUAACGCGAAGCUCUUGAUCGAAGCCCCGGUAAACGGCGGCCGUAACUAUAACGGUCCUAAGGUAGCGAAAUUCCUUGUCGGGUAAGUUCCGACCUGCACGAAUGGCGUAACGAUGGCGGCGCUGUCUCCACCCGAGACUCAGUGAAAUUGAAAUCGCUGUGAAGAUGCAGUGUAUCCGCGGCUAGACGGAAAGACCCCGUGAACCUUUACUAUAGCUUUGCACUGGACUUUGAAUUUGCUUGUGUAGGAUAGGUGGGAGGCUUUGAAGCGUGAACGCCAGUUUGCGUGGAGCCAACCUUGAAAUACCACCCUGGCAACUUUGAGGUUCUAACUCAGGUCCGUUAUCCGGAUCGAGGACAGUGUAUGGUGGGUAGUUUGACUGGGGCGGUCUCCUCCUAAAGAGUAACGGAGGAGUACGAAGGUGCGCUCAGACCGGUCGGAAAUCGGUCGUAGAGUAUAAAGGCAAAAGCGCGCUUGACUGCGAGACAGACACGUCGAGCAGGUACGAAAGUAGGUCUUAGUGAUCCGGUGGUUCUGUAUGGAAGGGCCAUCGCUCAACGGAUAAAAGGUACUCCGGGGAUAACAGGCUGAUACCGCCCAAGAGUUCAUAUCGACGGCGGUGUUUGGCACCUCGAUGUCGGCUCAUCACAUCCUGGGGCUGAAGCCGGUCCCAAGGGUAUGGCUGUUCGCCAUUUAAAGUGGUACGCGAGCUGGGUUUAGAACGUCGUGAGACAGUUCGGUCCCUAUCUGCCGUGGACGUUUGAGAUUUGAGAGGGGCUGCUCCUAGUACGAGAGGACCGGAGUGGACGAACCUCUGGUGUUCCGGUUGUCACGCCAGUGGCAUUGCCGGGUAGCUAUGUUCGGGAAAGAUAACCGCUGAAAGCAUCUAAGCGGGAAACUUGCCUCAAGAUGAGAUCUCACUGGAACCUUGAGUUCCCUAAAGGGCCGUCGAAGACUACGACGUUGAUAGGUUGGGUGUGUAAGCGCUGUGAGGCGUUGAGCUAACCAAUACUAAUUGCCCGUGAGGCUUGACCAUAUAACACCCAAGCAAUU